This 4491-nucleotide long non-coding RNA is filed under the name Homo sapiens (human). RNAcentral describes it as "HSALNT0146488". The record is from RNAcentral. Lineage: Eukaryota; Metazoa; Chordata; Mammalia; Primates; Hominidae.
CACACACACUCUCUGAGCAUAAGCUGCUAGCCAGACUCCCUCUCCCCAUUUUCUGCCAACAUUUCAGAUACUUCCUUGAGGUCUGUUCUCAGAGCUCCUGACAAUUUGUGGUGUUUAGUGACAGAACUGUUACUUUCACAUUUCUUGCUGUUUUAAUGAGACUAUCUGUAGCUAAGAAAAGUGACAUGGUGGCUGGUCCCCUCCCUGGCUCACUGCUGGUCAGCAUUGCCCUUGCUACUUCCAGCCUGCCCUGAAUAUUCCCAUCUCUGCCCAAUAGCGACUACCGAUUUUCUCAAGAUUUGGAGGAUAUGAAAUUUACUCAUCUUAGAAGAGAACUGGACAUCGUAAACCAAAAAAGGUGGAGAUAUUUUAAACAGUCAACAUUUAACCCAAAGGAAUACAUCUUUAAUGGUAAAAUUUUGAACUGUGAUAUGGUUUGGCCCUGUGUCCCUACCCAAAUCCCAUGUUGAAGCGUGAUCAUGAGUGUUGGAGCCAUGUAGGGCAUGCCUCCUUCUUCUUUGCCUUCUGCCAUGAUAGUAAGUUUCCUGAAGACUCCCAGCCAUGCCUCCUGUACAGCCUGGGGAACUGUGAGUCAAUUAAACCUCUUUUCUUUACAAAUUACCCAGUUUUAGGCAGUUCUUUAUAGCAAUGCAAUAACUAAUACAGACUGGGUAUAGAAGUUAUUUUAGAGGGUGGAUUCUCCUCUGCAUUAUCAAAUUACAUCACAUAAAAUUUGCCUAUAUGUGUUUACUUUUAUCACAAAUACUAAAAUUAACACUUUGCCCUUUUAUAUGGUAUAAUGGUAACCCAUCAGACAGAACCCAGUAUGAAGCUCAGCUUUACCCUCUUCCAGGCUAUGGCAAAUCAUUGAACUGAUCUGAGCCUCAGUUUCCUAGUCUGUAAAAUGAGGGGAAAAAAAACUCCCACCAGAUGAAUUAUAGAUCUAAAUGUUUUAAUGUCCUUCAAAUAAAUUCAAUGGCUCACUCAUAAUGGGUACUCCAUAAAUGUUAAUUCUCUUCCCCUGAUUCUCCUUUUUCCAGGUGCAAUAAGCACAAUGAUCAGUCAUUUCUGAGCCAGCUCCUUUACUUGAUAUCACUCCAUUGUAGGUUGUCUUUUCCAAUGUACCCCAGGUUAUUUUCCCCUACUAACAGAAGGUCAUUACAUUAACUAAAUACUUUCUUUUGCUUGUCAAUGACAUCUUACUUUAAAUCCAAGCUCUCCCUACUUCACAGAGCUUCCAGUAAAACAGAUGAGAGGAAAUCAUAGUCCUCUGAUCACAGGGCCACCAUUUCAGCAGGUACCAGCUAUUCUUAAUGAAAAUAGUACCAAGACAACACACAGAAGAAAAAACAUUUAUGAGAAACUCUAAAAUGCACGAGAGGUAUUAAGGGGAAAGUGAGUUAUAAUCAUGCUGUUGGAUUCUUUUUCCAUUUUAUUUCUUCUGAGAGUGGAGUUCAUUUUCCUGACUCCCAAUACAAUGACACCAUAUUAGACACAUAUUUUUAGAAAAGGUAUAUUAUUGUUGACCUAUUAUAUGUGCUGCUCGUAAUCAUCCAAGUAAUGCCUGGGUGAUGGGCCUAACACAACAGGGAGGCAAUGGCUAGACAAAGAGCUACUCCCUGAAACGUGCAGAAAAUAGUCAAACAAGGAGAUUAUCCAAAGUUCCAUCGCUGUGUACAAUACUUAUCUUCUUGAGUCAGGAAGAAGGGGACAGACAGUCUUCAGUUUAUUUCUCACUGAACUGAUCCUUUGUUUCCCUCCCCCCACCACCUACAGAAUCUAAAUUAGAGUGAUUUCCUCCCGCAGAAAAGUCAGGCCAUCCAUCCUGACAUAUGCAGAUUUGAAGAUGAUGUGGGAGAGGAAAGAAAGGGCGAGGAAAUUUAUGUUCUAUCCUCAGAAGCUGACUCACGGACCAAGCAGGUAGAACUAAGGGGUCUUUCCACAGCAAACCUGAGAAAUACUGACAUAAAAAUAUCUCUGGACUGGACCCAAGAUUCAGAAGAACUGCAUUCAAGCCCCAGCUUCACCAAAAUACCAUGUGAGACUGAGUUUACUGUGUCUAUUGAUUGUUCAUUCAUCUAAUAAACAUUUUUAACCAUUUACUUUGUGCUAGAUCCUGUGAGAUAGGGAUGUUUCUCAUCUGUAAAAUGAGGAUAGUAAUACUAGCAUACAAAAUUAUUAAGGUCAAAUAAGAUACUAAACCCAAAAUCAUUUCAUAACUAUAGUUCUGUGCAAAUAUAAGAUACUUUCAGACUUUAGGCACGUUAUUGAUUAAAAAGAAUUUUCUGUGUUAACCUUUGAACUUAAUCAUUAUUUAUAGCAUUGUUUCCAUGCAGGACACACUAUGUUAGAGCACUGGGAAACACAUCUGCUUCUCCUAGUGUCUUCCUCUAGCCACUCUGCCUCAUCUCCUAUAGAACCUACGGUGUUGGCCAGCCAAGGAUAAAAUGAAGCCACAUCACAAAUAACUUUCCCUUUCCCAUUUAAGACCCAACAGUCACUGAUCAACUUUUAGAAUAAAAAAGAGAAUAAAUUGGUUUCAAAGACCCUUCUGAUACUCUAGGACCCCAUGAUAAAUCCAAUACUCUUAAUGUAUCACAAACAAAGUCUUCGAGUAUAAUAGACAUGAAUGUGUCAGUGACUGAAAGUCACUACAUGAGGAACUCUGAAGAAGAAAGAAGCUUAAAGAGAUAGAAACAGAUAUUUUCCACAAGUGUGCCAUUGCCUUCUGGAGCUAAGGCAGCCCUGAGUUCUGCAGGGAGUUCUACCACUGGCUACUCAUGCCCACAUCUCAGGACAAUGCAAAGUGUACAGUCUUCCUAAAGGAGCUCAGCCUUUGGGGCCACCAUGCCAAAGAAAAGCCAUUCUGCAAUAGGAAUAAAAAGGGGAUAAAGUGGCAGAAGGAAAGCAACCUCUAACCGAAGAAAGGAGUAGUUUUCAUCUCAAAGAAAGCUCUUUCAGAAACUGGAGGCAAGAGCCACACUGGAAAUUACUAUUGUAAAGGAUGGAAAUGCUGCCAAGGUAUCUGGUUGAAACCUGCCAUUCAAAAGGGUUGAAUGCAAAUAAUAUUCCUUCAGGCCAAGUAAAGUCACAGAGACUUUUAAUUUUUUUUCUUUUUGGCUUUUAAGCCUUAGAAGAGUUAUAGGCUACUUGAAAAAUAAUUUUGUCAAAAUCAUCUAGAAGCAAAGGAAUCAGUGUCAUGGUUUAUAAGCUUAUUCACAAGAGAAUGAAGAAUCUACCUCCUGACCACAUCUGCACGUGGCCAUAAAAAUAAGCUAUUUUUUUCAAAUGAACACACAUGUACUAAGUGCUCCAUGUUUGAAAUGCUGGAAAGGUGCUCAGGGUACUGAAAUGAGGAUGGAUAACCCCCGAGUUCUGUUUGCUUACUAUCUAUUUGGAAAAUAAAUGCCUACACAGACUCCCUUUAGCAAAGCCUACAGAAAGAGCUUUGCAGAAGGGACUCUACGUCAAGAGGUACCAAACCAUGCUGUGAAAAUACAGGGGGAAACAGAGAUUAAUUCUGCAAAAAGAUCUGAGAGAGCAAACUGAAGGAGAAAUAUUUAAAGAUAAUAACAUGAAAGUAUAAUAUAAGUAGGCAUAAUUUGCAGAGGUUAGUAAUUUGGUAAAUAAAGCAGGAAUAAUGGGUCAAAAUGGCCAGCCACAAAGAGCAAAGAAAGAGGUAAGAAAAUUUAAUCAACAAAAUAUGCUUAUACCAAUUUUUGCACCAUCCUUAUUUUGUAUCUUCCCAGUUUCCCUUAGUUUACCCAGCUAAGUUUGAUGACAGGAGUUCAGCAGAUGCUAUUGGUUACUUCAACAUCCAUUGUUUUUCUUCUACUUUUGUUCAAGUGGCUACUCUGUAUACGGCCUUUGACUUUAAGACAGACUAACCCACAAGGGUGAAUCCUCGGGGGCCAUGCCUAUCAUGGUACCCUUAAACCUCUUCCUGCCAGUGGUUUGUUUGGGAAUGAACAUGCAAAAAAAUUUUGGCCAUUGAUGCUGGAAGACUUUGAGGAAAGAUUUCCUUGAUUUCAAAAGUGAACCCAAGGGAAAGACCCGGGUUUUUUUGUUUUCUUACUUCUCUCUCAGGAUAUUUUCCUGUCUAGAUGUGGUGCCUGGAGCUGCUGGUACCAUGUUAGGAUGAUAGAGUGGGAAAAUGGAAAAAGGUUGAUUCCUAAUGACUACACCACUGAACCAACCAGCCCCGAAACCCCUACUUCUCCACUUCAUGCAUGUGAGAAAAUAAAUGUCCUCACUACUUUAACCAGCUGUUUCAGGUUUCUGUUACUUGUGCUGAGGGAAUCCUAACUGACACCAGGAGAUACCAUAUCUUCGUUCCGCUCUGGCUGGGAAACAGACACACACAUGGAUCCUAGGAGAUGGUUCAUUGCCAUUGAGUAGUGCAUGAAGAAAAAUGUAGUAAAGCUUCCUAUAAAACUCCUCACUGAAGCUCAGAUUUGAUUCUGAUUAGAGGCCCCUCCACUCAUCUCUGUG